This 229-nucleotide ribosomal RNA is filed under the name uncultured bacterium. Its description in RNAcentral is "partial 16S ribosomal RNA". It matches the Rfam family "Bacterial small subunit ribosomal RNA", at positions 568 to 796 of the family's 1533-position model. The record is from RNAcentral.
UACGUAGGCGAGAAAUUAAGUCAGUAGUGAAAUCCCACAGCUUAACUGUGGAACUGUUAUUGAUACUGGUUUUCUUGAAUAUAGUUGAGGUAGGCGGAAUGUGUAAUGUAGCGGUGAAAUGCUUAGAUAUUACACAGAACACCGAUUGCGAAGGCAGCUUACUAAGCUAUGAUUGACGCUGAGGUACGAAAGCGUGGGGAGCGAACAGGAUUAGAUACCCUGGUAGUCC